UGUCAAGCUGCUGUCACCUUACCUGAAGUAAGGAGUCCACGCCUGCAUGUCCGAGGAAAACAGUUUUCUCAAACACAUUAGUUGAAAAACUGAAGACGCUGCCUAAAAUACAAGCUGAGUUAGAGACAGCCCUUGUAAGACUAGAAAAAGAAAUGGAAACUAAGUAACAUGAAUUAACAUAGUCCAGGGUCACAAAGCAAAAUGGAACAAGAACCUGGAUCUGAAUUCAGAGGCAGAAUGCUGGGCCUGAGAAUCAGGAGAGUCAAUGGUAUUAGUGCUUGUCCGGAAGCCAUCAUGCUUCAAAACCAAGAAGAGCUGAUUUUCCAGUUGGAGUCUAAAGGCUUUGGUAUCAGGAUGAUGCUGGCCUCAUCAAACGAGUUAGGGAGGAUUCCCUCUUUUUCUAUUGAUUGGAAUAGUUUCAGAAGGAAUGGUACCAGCUCCUCCUUGUACCUCUGGUAGAAUUCGGCUGUGAAUCCGUCUGAUCCUGG
Molecule: non-coding RNA, 488 nt
Filed under: Pan troglodytes (chimpanzee)
Lineage: Eukaryota; Metazoa; Chordata; Mammalia; Primates; Hominidae
Source: RNAcentral